GGCCGGGCGGGGGGAAGGCUUUGGCCGGUGCACACGGCGGUGGCUGUCACCUGCGUGGGGGCUGCAGAUCCCACCAAAGCUAGACCUUCCCUCCCCUAGCUGCUGGACAGCCCCGGCUGGUUGGUGAGCAUCUGCUACCCCUCAGUAGGUUGGGCAGAGUGGAGAGUUGAGUCGUGCAGGCUUGCUGGGGGCGAGUGCUCUGGGCAGAGUAGAGUCCAAAACGCAGAGAAGAAGCUUUAGAGUGAGUCAACAUGCUCUUACAUCAGCGGACAGCUCAUCUGAUCCCUGACUCUUUGCAAGAUGCAGGCUGGGAUUUUCAGGAAAGCUCAGCUCCCAUUUAGCUCCCUGAAGGCUGUGCACAUGGAGCUGCGCAGGCAGCUGCACGCUCUCUCCACCAGAAGGCCAAACUGGUGAGAUUUGAGCCAGCUUUGGUCCAGACGCCUUGUAGCUAUGUUAGCACAAUACUGUGCCCAAUUCGCUCAGCUUUAGCAUCGCUUUUUUCCUUGGUAACUAAAUGGCAGCUGAACUCUUCUAACCAUCUGACCCAGUCCCCAUUUAAAAUAGCAGGUAAUGGAGGGGGCGUUUGUUCAGCAUGCUGAGCUCCAGCUCUGGGAAUGGUCCAAGCUGCAGCUGGAGCGCUUUCUUUCAUUGUUUUGGUGAAGUAUUUUAAUGUAAUGUCUAAUGCUUUAAAAGCAAAUAAAUUGUCUUCGUUACAAGAUGCAGUCCUCCUCCCGGUCAUCUUCACGCUUGUUCAUGUACUGUAUGGCUCAGAAAUCCACCCGUGUCCCAGAACAAUGUUAAACGUCUAAGGCCUGGUGCUGAGAUAGACAGGAUACCUGCAAGUCGUGCUGAUGUCAGCGGGGCCUGGGCUUUAAAUCUCCCCCCCUCAGGACCUUAAACAGCUCAGUCUUCUGCAGCUGUAUUGAUGAGAACAUUGAAAUCAGUGUCAUAGGAUGACACUGCAAUCCUGCCAAUUUAAGAUGGAUUGUUUUUUGUUGGCUUGGGUCUUUUGGUGUAGAUUGUGGAGCAAACUUAAUAUAAGGAACAGUUUUUACUAUUUAUUUUAAAUAUAAGUAAGCUUACUUUUCCUUUCAACCAUUUCUUCCUCCAGGCUCUCAUUUGAUUUCCUUAUAAAGUCAGCAAAAAUAGGUGUUGUGUAUGUUUUUCCCUUUUUAAGGUUUUAGGUGCAAAUGUCUAAGCGCAUGCUUUUUCAGAUCCUCUCUGCUUCUCUUGUAUGUUUUGAGUACUAAAACCAAACCUGUCUCACUUCAAACCCAAUUGACGGUUUUGCCUGACCACCAGAUAUUUAUUCAUGGCACUAACUGGAUACUUUCAUAAUAGUCUCAGAGGCUGGAGAAAAGAGAGGCCAGACUGGGCCUUCGAGCUUUGGCAACUGAACUCUGAGCUAUGGAGUUUGGAGGAAGUUUGGGACAAAUUAGUCGGACAAAGAGCAAAAGCACAUGUUAACUGCUGCCCAUUCUGCACAGUGUCCUCUGCAUGAGAGCUUGUUCUGUCAGUCCAGUACUAGCAUUACUACCAUGUUCACACACAAUAAAUACAAACAGAUAUAUUGUGCUUUAGUCCUCCUAUCUGUAGUUCAGCAAGAUUGAACAAGGUUAGUACUUGGAUAGGAGACCUUCCAGGAAAGUUUAGUUGCUGUAGAAAAGAGUGGUGUUCACUUACUGAGUGAUAUUUUUCGAGUACUGAAGUCAGUAUUAAGAUGACAAUGUCUCCUGGUUCUGGGGAUGAUGAGCUGUAGAAAUUCCAGCUUUGAAUAGGGUAUGAAAGCAAAUUCUUGAGCGUUUUUGGUCAUGAUGGGGCUUUUGGCAUUUUACCACAGAGUAGGAGAGUAUCCUGGCCAAAUUCCAACCUGGGUAAUUACAUUCUGUUGACUGAAAUGGAGCAGCGGUUAUUGCUGCAUUUCACUGCUGGGCAAAAUGAUCUUCACACAUGGGCUUAAAUUUGUGAAGCGACUUAGGACAAAGCAGAAUGAAUGGGACUUACAGAAAUGUCACUUUAACCUUCACAACUCCCCCCUGAAGGCCCUGUGAGGCUAGUCAGUUUGCUGUUGCAUUCCUUUAAAUGCCAGUGAUCCAACUGCUGGGGCAUUGCUUGGAGUGGCUGUGGCAACAUUGCCCAGUCUGGGGCUGUGAACCAUUGCAGUUCAUAAGACAUCGCAGGAUGUCUUCAGAACAGGUGCACUUUCUUAUAACACACAUACACAUUCCCAUACAUUCAGCAAGGAAACAAACAGAAUGGGAGAAAAAGAAAUAAAAGACCAUUCGAAAUUUUCUUUGUUCAUAAAUUGAAUACUGUGACUGUGCCGUUCAGGCUGAUCCGUGGUUGGUGUUUAGUUUUCAAAAAGGCAGAGUGAUCUUUUGAUUGGAAAAAAGGUAGAAAAACUCUGAUGUAAGAUAUAGAAGGCUACAUGGAAAUGUAUUUCCUAUUAUGUAUGUACCCCGAUGUUUAACAAUUUUUUCUCUCCCUGACCUUCCCUACUUUAUUUUGUACUCAGAUUUUCUUACUUCUGUCAGAAAUCUGCCUUAUAACUUCACAAGUUUUCAGGAGAAGAUCACUGUGUUUCACUGGGAUAGGAAUAUUGCAUCUGCUUCAUAGCAGGAAGAUGUUAUACGUAUUACAGCUUAAUUCUGUUCUACUUUAAACCUAGAUAAAGAAUGAAGACUGUCUGUACCAUUUUGAUUACCUCUUCUAGGGUUCAAAGAGAGAAUCAGUUUCCCUGACCUUCAUUUGCUAAUGGCUCAGCUUGAUCUAACCAGUAUACAGAUAAAUGUGCUGUUAAGCAAAAAUUCUAGUAGGAAGAACCGUCUCAAUGUCUAAAAUUCCUUUGCCCCUGCUGGUAUCAGUGGCUCUUAGUAAGCAGCUAAAAUCUGAACUACGCAAAGUAACGAGAGCUAUUCACGAGAAGCUUGCACACAAACGGACAAUUCUGCCAUCCUCUUAAAAGAGAUGAGAUGAAGGACCCUUCACAAUGACAGCUCUGCAAGCUCCAAAUACGAGAAGCUCGUGCGCAUGGAGUUUUACGCUUUAUCUCCAGAAUGACCUUCGUUCCUGUUAGGCUAAUUUCACCUGUUGUCACAAGUUUCGCUUUUGGGAUUUAGACCAUCAUUAGCCACGGAAGUCUCACACAAAUCACUUUUCUCUCUCUCUUUUUUUCCCCCCUAUUUUACACAAGACUGUUAAUAGAACUAUUAGUGGAAUAAGCAAAGCCAAUAUUCACAGGGUUUAACAGUGUACCUAUAGCACCUUUUGUCCCAAAAUGCCUUACAAAUGCCAUACAGCACGCACGUCCCAGCGUGCAACUUGUCAUGACAUUUCCUUUCACUUAGGCACCACCUUAGCUUCCCAAAUUGACUGUUAGGGACAUUUCAGCAAAUAGCACCUCAUACAGUGAGUCAGACACCGUCCAAAGGUGCCUUUCAGAGCUGAGAGCUUUCUCCGUGAAUGCGUUCAGAGCUAAGGAGACCAUGCGCGCCGCGUGCGUGUUGAUGCCGUACACCUAACGGGAGCACCGUGACCUAACGGAGGGAAUGGCAGAAGGAGGGCACGCUGGCGCUCCUCCUGUCCGGCUGUGGGUGCGACGCGUAGGUGUUUACUGCGAUGAGCACCGCAAAACGUGGCUCGUGGCUGCGGAAGAGGCAAGUGUCCUUCGAGCUUCCCAGUGAUUGUAGCUUUGAUAACGCAGCUGCCUCUGCUGCCUUGCCGGUAACUGCCUGCUCUUUCUGUUACUCUCCCCCAGGAGGAAGGUAUGCUGAGGGCCCGGAUCCAAAGAGUUCAGGUUCCCCUGGGUGAGGCGCUGCGACCCAGCCAGCUCCCCCCAUCCCGGCUGCCUCAUAUGUGGCAGCUGUCCCAGGCUUGGUGGUGUUGAAGAACUGCUGCUUAAACUCGUGCCUGGUGAUUAAUCUGGAGCAGUGGCUCUAGGAAGAUGUCCUUGUAUGUUUUGUACAAUAAAUGAUUCUCUCUCCACUGAAAUGCAGCCACCUCUGAGGUGGAAGCAGUUAAACAACACACAGCAACAUCACACAAGAGUUUAGGACAGGCAGUGAAGAAGAGUAUCGUGUCCAAUUGAAACGUCAGGGGGAGUUCUAGCGAACAACUACGUGGAGUCUAAGUGCGAAGCCGUGCUUCAGGAGAUGCGGAAGUGCUGUGCCCGGUACCCCAAGGGCAGAUCCAUCUGCUGUUCAGGGUUUGAGAAAGAAGAAAGAGAGAGAGAAAAGUUUAAGGCUGC
Dromaius novaehollandiae (emu) is the source of this 4246-nucleotide RNA transcript. It is a transcript of the gene named cx9C motif-containing protein 4, with no coding region annotated. Lineage: Eukaryota; Metazoa; Chordata; Aves; Casuariiformes; Dromaiidae. The record is from RefSeq and is a predicted model, not a curated record. The transcript has 5 exons.